Molecule: long non-coding RNA, 2025 nt
Filed under: Brassica napus (rape)
Lineage: Eukaryota; Viridiplantae; Streptophyta; Magnoliopsida; Brassicales; Brassicaceae
Description: long non-coding RNA (BNAP_LNC000763)
Source: RNAcentral
GUAGGGUUAGAAAGGGUUUAGGGUUAGGUAGGGUUUAGGUUUUAAGGUUAGGUAGGGUUUAGGGUUAGAAAGGGUUUAGGGUUAGUAGGGUUUAGGGCUAGGUAGGUUUUAGGAUUAGAAAGAGUUUAGGGUUAGGUAGGGUUUAGGAUGAUUAGAAAUGGUUUAGGGUUAGAAAGCGUUGAGGGUUAGUAGAGUUGAGGGUUUAGGUAGGGUUUGGGGUUAGGUAGGGUUUAGGGUUAGAUAGGGUUUAGGGUUAGGUAGGGUUUAGGGUUAGAUAGGGUUUAGGGUUAGGUAGGGUUUAGGGUUAGAUAGGGUUUAGGGUUAGGUAGGGUUUAGGGUGGUUUAGGGUUANNNNNNNNNNNNNNNNNNNNNNNNNNNNNNNNNNNNNNNNNNNNNNNNNNNNNNNNGGGUUAGAAAGGGUUUAGGGUUAGGUAGGGUUUAAGGUUAGAAAGGGUUUAGGGUUAGGUAGGGUUUAAGGUUAGGCAGGGUUUAGGGUUAGAAAGGGUUUAGAAGUAGGGUUUAAGGUAAAAAAGGGUUUAGGGUUUAGGGUUAGUAGGGUUUAGGGUUAGGUAGGAUUUAGGGUUAGUAGGGUUUAGGGUUAGGUAGGGUUUAGAUAGGUAGGGUUUAGGGUUAGUUAGGGUUUAGGGUUAGAAAUGGUUUAGGAUUUAGAGUUAGUAGGAUUUAGGGCUAGAAAGAGUUUAGAGUUAGAAAGGGUUUAGGGUUAGGUAGGGUGUAGGGUUAGAAAGGGUUUAGGGUUUAGGUAGGGUUUAGGGUUAGGUAGGGUUUAGGGUUUAGGGUUAGAAAGGGUUUAGUGUUAGGUAGGGUUUAGGGUUUAGGUAAGGUUUAGGGUUAUGUAGGGUUUAGGGUUUAGGUAGGAUUUAGGGUUUAGUUAGGGUUUAGGGUUAGAAAGGGUUUAGGGUUAGGUAGGGUUUAGAGUUUAGGUAGGGUUUAAGGUUAGGUAGGGUUUAGGGUUAGAAAGGGUUUAGAGUUAGUAAUGGUUUAGGGCUAGGUAGGUUUUAGGGUUAGAAAGGGUUUAGGGCUAGGUAGGUUUUAGGGUUAGAAAGGGUUUAGAGUUAGGUAGGGUUUAGGAUUAGAAAGGAUUUAGGGUUAGAAAGGGUUGAGGGUUAAUAGGGUUUAGGGUUUAGGUAGGGUUUGGGGUUAGGUAGGGUUUAGGGUUAGAAAGGGUUUAGGGUUAGUAGGGUUUAGGGUUAGGUAGGGUUUAGGGUUAGGUAGAGUUUAGGGUUAGAAAGGGUUUAGGGUUAGUAGGGUUUAGGGUUAGGUAGGGUUUAGGGUUAGGUAGAGUUUAGGGUUAGAAAGGGUUUAGGGUUAGUAGGGUUUAGGGUUUGGUAUGGUUUAGGGUUAGAAAGGGUUUAGGGUUAGUAGGGUUUAGGGUUUGGUAUGGUUUAGGGUUAGAAAGGGUUUAGGGUUAGUAGGGUUUAGGGUUUGGUAUGGUUUAGGGUUAGAAAGGGUUUAGGGUUAGGUAGGGUUUAGGGUUAGAAAGGGUUCAGGGUUAGUAGGGUUUAGGGUUUGGUAGGGUUUAGGGUUAGGUUUAGGUAGGGUUUAGGGUUAGGUUUUAGGGUUAGGUAGGGUUUAGGAUUAAAUAGGGUUUAGGGUUAGGUAGGGUUUACGUUUAGGGUUAGGUAGGUUUACGGUUAGAUAGGGUUAGGGUUUAGGUCGUAGGAAGGGUUUAGGGAUUAGGGUUAGCUUUAUGUAGGGUUUAGGGUUAGAUAGGGUUAAGGUCUAGGUUUAGGUAAGGUUUAGGGUUUGGUAGGAUUUAGGGUUUAGAUAGUAGAAAAGGUUUAGCGUUUAGUUUAGGUUGGGUUUAAGGUUUGGUUUAGAAUAAUGUUUAGGAUUAUAGGGUUUAUGGUUUGUUUGUUUUUUUGUUUAUGCAUUUAGUGCUGAAUUUUUUGGAUAAAAUUUUAUAUUAAUAUUAUUGAUUCAUAAUUUUUCUUAAAAUGUUAAAAAUUUUAACGUGAUUUUUAAUGUUCUUAUAACAAAUGAUGUAUUUUUUAUUAAGUUUUUUGU